GGGUUGUGAGGUUAAGCGACUAAGCGUACACGGUGGAUGCCCUGGCAGUCAGAGGCGAUGAAGGACGUGCUAAUCUGCGAAAAGCGCCGGCGAGGUGAUAUGAACCUUUGACCCGGCGAUGUCCGAAUGGGGAAACCCAGU
Molecule: ribosomal RNA, 141 nt
Filed under: Enterobacter cloacae
Lineage: Bacteria; Pseudomonadati; Pseudomonadota; Gammaproteobacteria; Enterobacterales; Enterobacteriaceae
Description: partial 23S ribosomal RNA
Rfam family: Bacterial large subunit ribosomal RNA
Source: RNAcentral